GCCCAGCCGUAAACUUUUAAUUACACCUAAAUCGCCAGGGAACUACGAGCUAAGCUUAAAACCCAAAGGACUUGACGGUACCCCAUAUCCCCCUAGAGGAGCCUGUCCUAUAAUCGAUAAUCCACGUUUAACCUCACCAUUUCUAGUUAAUCAGCCUGUAUACCUCCGUCGUCAGCUUACCACGUGAGCGCUAAUUAGUGAGCCCAAUGUUAUUUCACCAACACGUCAGGUCAAGGUGCAGCAAAUGAAAUGGAAAGAGAUGGGCUACACUUUCUAUAUUAGAAGAGACGAAAAACUAUUUAUGAAAUCUAGUUAGAAGGCGGAUUUAGCAGUAAAAAGGAAUCAGAAUGUCCAUUUUAACCCGGCACUGGGGUGUGUACACACCGCCCGUCACCCUCUUCAAGGCUUCUAACCUAGUUCUUAACAAACUAAAAUACAACAGAAGAGGCAAGUCGUAACAUGGUAAGUAUACCGGAAGGUGUGCUUGGAAA
This 491-nucleotide ribosomal RNA is filed under the name Rhinella achalensis. RNAcentral's name for it is "partial 12S ribosomal RNA". It matches the Rfam family "Bacterial small subunit ribosomal RNA", at positions 794 to 1522 of the family's 1533-position model. The record is from RNAcentral. Lineage: Eukaryota; Metazoa; Chordata; Amphibia; Anura; Bufonidae.